AUUGAACGCUGGCGGCAUGCCUUACACAUGCAAGUCGAACGGUAACGGGCCUUCGGGUGCCGACGAGUGGCGCACGGGUAAGUAAUACAUCGGAACGUGCCCGAUCGUGGGGGAUAACGAGGCGAAAGCUUUGCUAAUACCGCAUACGAUCUACGGAUGAAAGCAGGGGACCGCAAGGCCUUGCGCGGACGGAGCGGCCGAUGGCAGAUUAGGUAGUUGGUGGGAUAAAAGCUUACCAAGCCGACGAUCUGUAGCUGGUCUGAGAGGAUGAUCAGCCACACUGGGACUGAGACACGGCCCAGACUCCUACGGGAGGCAGCAGUGGGGAAUUUUGGACAAUGGGCGCAAGCCUGAUCCAGCCAUGCCGCGUGCAGGAUGAAGGCCUUCGGGUUGUAAACUGCUUUUGUACGGAACGAAAAGCCUUCUUUUAAUACAGGAGGGUCAUGACGGUACCGUAAGAAUAAGCACCGGCUAACUACGUG
RNAcentral lists this ribosomal RNA (482 nucleotides) under uncultured bacterium. RNAcentral's name for it is "partial 16S ribosomal RNA". It matches the Rfam family "Bacterial small subunit ribosomal RNA", at positions 30 to 507 of the family's 1533-position model. The record is from RNAcentral.